This is a non-coding RNA of Myotis brandtii (Brandt's bat), 106 nucleotides long. Lineage: Eukaryota; Metazoa; Chordata; Mammalia; Chiroptera; Vespertilionidae. The record is from Rfam.
AUCGCUUCUCGGCCUUUUGGCUCAGAUCAAGUGUAGUCUAUGUUCCUAUCAGUUUAAUAGCUGAUACAUCCUCUAUUUUAAAAAAAUACAAAAUGAAGAACCCCUU